RNAcentral lists this ribosomal RNA (792 nucleotides) under uncultured archaeon. RNAcentral describes it as "bacterial SSU rRNA". It matches the Rfam family "Archaeal small subunit ribosomal RNA", at positions 85 to 879 of the family's 1478-position model. The record is from RNAcentral.
ACUGCUCAGUAACACGUGGAUAACCUACCCUUGGGACUGGGAUAACCCCGGGAAACUGGGGAUAAUACCAGAUAAGUCAUCGAUGUUGGAAUGCACGGUGGCUCAAAGUUCUGGCGCCCAAGGAUGGGUCUGCGGCCGAUUAGGCUGUUGCCGGAGUAACGUCCCGGCAAACCUGUAAUCGGUACGGGUUGUGAGAGCAAGAGCCCGGAGAUGGAUUCUGAGACACGAAUCCAGGCCCUACGGGGCGCAGCAGGCGCGAAACCUUUACAAUGUACGAAAGUAUGAUAAGGGGACUCCGAGUGUCGACACAUGUGUCGACUGUCCAGAUACCUAAAAAGCAUCUGAUAGCAAGGGCCGGGUAAGACCGGUGCCAGCCGCCGCGGUAACACCGGCGGCUCGAGUGGUAGCCACUAUUAUUGAGUCUAAAGCGUCCGUAGCCGGUUUGAAAAGACCUUUGGGAAAUCUUACAGCUUAACUGUCGGGCUUCCAGGGGAAACUCUCAGACUUGAGACCGGGAGAGGUUGGAGGUACUUCAGGAGUAUGAGUGAAAUCUUGUGAUCCCUGGGGGACCACCGGUGGCGAAGGCGUCCAACUGGAACGGGUCUGACGGUGAGGGACGAAAGCUAGGGGCGCGAACCGGAUUAGAUACCCGGGUAGUCCUAGCCGUAAACGAUGUGAGCUAGGUGUCAGUCACACCGCGAGUGUGGCUGGUGCCGUAGGGAAGCCGUGAAGCUCACCACUUGGGAAGUACGGCCGCAAGGCUGAAACUUAAAGGAAUUGGCGGGGGAGCAC